GAACCUAUCAGGCAUUGCUUCUCCAUGACAAGUCCAUGCUGCCAAACAGCCUUCACUCUUGCCGGCUAGAAUAUUAUGACAUUACAAAAACUGAUGAAAAGCACAUAUCUUGGAUGUAUUAUUCACCAUCAGGAAGAAUUGGAAGUUUCAAUUUUUGCAAAAGUAUUCUCGCUGUCGAGCCCAGGUUUGAUAAAGCAAAAACUCCCUAUAAAAUGAUGAAUAACAUAUAUUAGGAAUACAAUUUACUAUCACACUUAUAUCUUUUAACUGUUAUAUUUUAUGCCAGAAUUAAAGAUUGUACUUUGAUUUGAAAUCACAAAAAGUUCUGACCGGGUAAGAUCAUGUAAGUUGGAACCUUCACAUUUCUUACAAUGCCACAACAAAAUUCUGUAUGGUUAAUAAGUAAAUAAUAAAAAUUAAGACAAUUAUCUGGUCAAGCUAAAAAACCAA
Non-coding RNA from Pantherophis guttatus, 450 nucleotides. NCBI's taxonomy places the organism in Eukaryota, Metazoa, Chordata, Lepidosauria, Squamata, Colubridae. The record is from RefSeq and is a predicted model, not a curated record.